UGUAAAAAGUAAUGAAACAAAAAAAAAUGAAAAGAGUAUUAAUUUGAAUAAUAGUUAUAAUUUGAAUAAAAAUAUGAACGUUCAUACAAAUUUGUUUCCAAUAUCCAGUAAUGUGUUAAGUGAUAGUGCUAAUACUAAUGGUAAUGUUUUUUUAAAAAAAAAGGAUAGUGGUAAAGAUAGUGGCAAAGAUAGUGGUAAGGAUAGUGGUAAAGAUAGUGGUAAAGAUAGUGGUAAGGAGAGUGAUAAAGAUAGUGGUAAAGAUAGUGAUAAAGAUAGUGAUAAAGAUAGUGAUAGUUAUAAUGAAGAAACGUUUAAAAAAAAUAUGAAUGUUGUAGAAUUAAGUUUUAGUGUAAUAAAUAAAUGGAAUAACCCCAUCGAUUUGGUAGAGUUUGUAAAAAAUAAUUUAAAAAAUAACGAAUUUAUGUACAUAAAAAGAUUAGGCAACAACAGAUAUGAAAAAGUAAGUUGUGCAAACAAAAAAGACCCUAAUAUAAUGUCAAUUUCUUUAAACGGAGUUUUGGUUAAUGAAAAAAAUGAUACGAUAUUUUAUGAACUCAAUGAAUGGAAAGACAAUGUAAUUUUAUUAAAGAAUGCUAAAAAUUUAAAAUUUGUUAAAAAGUACCAUUUAUAUAAAUAUUUUUUUUUACUAAAAAAUAUGAUAAAAUAUAAUAAAUUUCGAAAUAGAAAAAAUUAUAUACAAAAUAAUUUAUUACAUUUAAAUAAACAAUUGUUUAUAGCUUUAAUACAAAUACAUACAAUAUUACAAGAGUUAAAUGAAAUUAAAAUAAUUGAUACUAAUAUAAAUAAUAUGAGUAUAGACGAUUUUAAAGAAUUACAAAAUGAUUAUAUUGUUUAUUUUAGUAGAACAUUAAAAAUAAAUUUAAAAAAUAUCGUAGAUAUAAUAUGCAAACAUUCUACAAAAGCAUUAUAUGAUUACUUAAGUAGUAAUGGGAUAAAUCAAGAAGAUAUAUCGGUUUCGAAAAACGCUCGGUUUAGUCUUGUUGCCAAAACAAGCACAAUUUCAGCUCUUACAACUGCUACUGUCACAACUUCUGCAGCCACGGCUCCUACUACUGCUAUUACUACACUUUCCAAAGCAAGGGAAAAAAAUAAAAAAAAAAAAGUGCUAGUAAAAAAAAGUAAAAAAUUAUUAAAUGUUUAUUUUGUAGAAUGUGAUGAAGGUGAUAAUAACUUGACUAAUAUUUCUACAGUUAAAAGUAGAGAUGCAAUUUUAAGAACAGGUGUUAUGGAUAAUGUUAAUGCAGGAAAUAAUAAUAACAUAAUGCCAUUAUCUUUACAAAGAAACAAUAUAAUUAAGGAAGGUGUACAUACUGUGGAUAAAUUACAAACACAAGAAGAACAAAAGAUUAGUAAUAAUAUUACAAAUAUAUUAACAUGUAAUGAAAAAUAUAGCAACAUAAACAAAGUAAAUAAUAAAAUAAGAUAUAAACUAAAAGAAUUAGACGGUGAUAAUAAUAAUAAUAAUAAUGAUACUAUUAUGGGUAGUGGUAGUCCUACAAAUACAGUUACAAAUAAAAACACGAACGAAAAUAAUAAAAACAUCAGUUCUUUUGGUAAAAAUAUAAUUAACAUUUAUGAUAGAAGUCAUAGCGCACAAAAUAAAAUAAACGAAGUAUGUUUAUUUAAUAUAGUAAUAACAAUAGAAGAUAAUAAACCUAAAAUAAGACCAGAAUUAGAUUUUUUAAUAAAUACAAUAGAAUAUUAUAUUAACAUUAAUAUAAAAUGUUUAAAUAAUAGAGAACCGUUUAUUAGUGAUGUUAAAAUAAAAAAUUUUUUUAAAAAUGAGAUUUAUGUUGAUAGCAUUAUAAGUAGUAACAAGCAGGAUUAUGAUUAUACUAACCAUAACAACAGUGUAGAAAAUAUAACCAGUGGUAAUGUAACCAGUGUUAAUGUAACCAGUGUUAAUGUAACCAGUGUUAAUGUAACCAGUGGUAAUGUAACCAGUGGUAAUGUAACCAGUGGUAAUGUAACCAAUCGCAAUACAACCAAUCGCAAUACAACCAAUCGCAAUACAACCAAUCGAAUUACAACCAGUGGUAAUACAACCAGUGGAAAUGUAACCAAAGUAGUACACUAUACAAAUCCUAAUCAACCAAACGAAGUCGAUACGUUUAGUUUUUCUUCUGAUGAUUUAUUAUACCAAUUAAAUUACGAAGUUAAACAUAAAAUAUCGAUUUUGUAUAAUUCGAUGGUAAACAGUUGUAAUUAUUUAUACGAAAUAAUAGAAUUAUUUAAUAAAUACAAAAGUGUAAACAUAAAAGAGUUAGAUAUAAUGAACGUUAGUAUGGUUUCCAAUUUAUUUAUAUCUUUAAAAGAUUUAGAAAAUCGUAUAAAAAAAAUAAAUAAACAAACAAAUGUAAAUAUAUUUAAAGUGGAUAGUAGUAUAUUAACAAAUAGUUUAUUAAAAAGUAUAAAUACAUUAUGGGAUGAUAUAAUAAAAUAUUUACCUUCGCUUAAUAAAGAAGUUAUUGAUACGUUAGCAAAUAAAUUAAACAAUGCAUAUUCUAUUAUUACUAAAACACCAAAUAAUAUAUUCGAACUUGUAAAAUAUGUUGAUUUUAUUAAUUCAUUUAACAACGAAUUAGUAACAAUAGAUGAAUCAAUUGAAUCUAUCACUACUAUGUUUUUAUUUUUUAAAAAAUAUUAUAUAACUAUUGAUGGAAAUAAUACAACUAAGUUAUUCUAUAUAAAUCAAAAAAUGAAUGCAGUAAAAAGUAUACUAUUAAAUAAAAAUGCUUAUAAUUUACAAUUUAAAGAUCUAUAUGAAGACUUAGAAAAAUAUAUAAGUUCUAUAGAAAAACAAAUUCAAAAAUAUAUAAGUAUUAUGAAGUUAAAUUUUUUUAAAUUUGAUUUUACAUUAUUUACUCUUGAGGAUAUACAGAAUAUGCUUAAAUGUGUGGUUCCUAUAAAAGACAUUACCGAGGUGUUUUACGAUGUAUCACGUGUGGGUGUUCAUACAAAAGGGGGAGUUCCCACAGACUCUACACCCGAUACAUCUAAUACAUCCAAUACAUCUAAUACAUCCAAUACAUCUAAUACACCAAAUACAUCUAAUACACCAAAUACAUCUAAUACAUCUAAUACACCCGGUACUUUCCACACCUCCCACACAGAUGACGUACUCGAAAAUUUAUACAACGAAACAAACAAAAUUCUGUCGACCCUAAAAAUAAACGAACAAAACGAAAUUGUGUUAUUAUUCCCAUCAGUUAGGACACAAGAAAUAGAAACAAUCUGUUUAGAAUAUGAAAAAGAAGAAGAAAUAAAUAAAAACUUUGCAAAAAUAAAAACGUUACUAAAAACAUAUAAAUUAGAUGUUAUUUUAAUUAAUAAAACUUUAUAUUUUAUUAACCAUAUAGAUACAGUAUUAUCAAACUUGAAAAAAAUAUUAUUAGAACUUUUACAAAUAGGAAAUGAUUUUUUUAGUAAAUAUAUAUAUACAGAACUAUUUACCUUAUCCAAAAAUAUAAUCCAUUUUAGUAACAUUCUUUAUAUAGUAAAAAAAAUACAAAUAUACUAUCAACAGUUUGAAAAGUAUAAAAAUGUAGACAUAUUAAAAGAAAUGGAAUUAUCUGAAAAAAAUUCGAUAAAAUCAUAUAUAAGUGGUGAAAAACAAAUCAAUAGAAAGGAAAUAAAAAUAUCCAGUGUUGAAAAUGUGGGAAAUGUUAUAAACACAUAUAAAAAUGUAUGUGAAGAGUUUUUUGUAUAUCCACAAAUAGUUAAACAUAUUGAAAAGGAGCAUAAAUUAAUUUAUUAUAAGGAUGUACUAUUCUUUUUUAAAACUAUAAUAAAAAAAAUUGAAACAUAUAUGAUUAAAAAAAAAAGAAUCGAAUUUUAUACUUUUUAUUUAUUAACAAAUAAAACAUUUUUACAUAUAUAUCCUGAUUUAACAAAUUUAAAAAAAAUAAACAUAUAUGUAAAUAAAAUGUUUCCAUAUAUUUAUAAAUUAAUAUGUCAAAAUGAAUCCAUCUGUGGUGUUAUUACUACUAACAAUGAAAGAAUGAUAUUCAAAAAUAAAAUACAAUUUAAAAAAUUAAAAUAUUUACUACACGAAAUUAACAGUUCUAUAAAAAGUUAUAUGAUCGACACUAUACAACAUUAUGUUAAAAAUAAAACCUUUUUUCAACCAUUAAAAUUAGACACUUAUCUAUUUUUUAUUAACAUCGAUAAUUUACAAUUUCUAUAUAUUUUACUCAAUAUAUAUUUUACGUAUGUGUUAGAUUUUUUUUUUCAAAAUGUGAAUAAAAACAAAGAAAUCUUUAAUUAUUUGAUGCAAAAUGUUUCUCAGUUAGUUCAUAGGUUGGAAGAGUGGGAGGGAACACAUGGUGACAGUACGCAUGGUGACAGUACGCAUGGUGACAGUACACAUGGUAACAGUACACAUGGUAACAGUACACAUGGUGAUAGUACACAUGGUGAUAGUACACAUGGUGAUAGUACGCAUGGUGAUAGUACGCAUGAUGGAAAUAAACACAAGACUAUAACCCAUCAACCCCGUUUGAAUGCUUACACUAAUAAAAAUCAGAUAAUGUCAAAACUGUCAAACAAUAUGAAACAAUCAAAUAUCAUGCAGUUGUCAAGCAAAACAAAAGCGUCAAACAUAGUGCAUGUACCAGGUACAAUGCACAUGCCAAGCAAAAUGAAAACAUUAAAUAAGAGGAAUAUACCAAAAAACAUCAUAUUUUUGUUAACAUUUUUUAUGUACAUAAAAGACAAAAUUCAAAAAAUAUUAUUAAAUUUUGAACAGAAUGAUACUUGUAUAAAUAACAACAGUUAUAAUUAUCUAGAACAAAUAAAACAUUAUUAUAUAAAAGAUACUUACUAUAUUAAUUUUUUCCAUUACAAUAUACCUUACCGAUUUGAACUGCUUAAUAAUGUUAAUUAUACUUUGGAUAUUAUAUAUAAUGAACAAAAUUUUAAUUUUUUUUUUUAUAAAUAUAUUGCUAGUAAUUAUAUUACAAUAUUUGGAAACAUAGCUGACUCAUGUUCAUAUUAUUUAGCUAAUAAAUUUUCAACUCUUUUAGGUUUCCAAUUUAUAUUAAUUAAUCAUGUAAAUUUAAAAAAAGAAAAUAUUCUAAAUUAUAUUUCAUGUAGCUUAUGUUCAAACGUUUCUUUUUUUUUUCACGAUGUUGAGAAAUAUAAAAAAAAAUUAAAAGAAAUAUUAUAUACUCAGUUAUCAAACAUAAGUUGUUAUUUUUCUCAUAAUAAAAAAAACAUUAUGAUAGAACAUACAGAAUUAUCUUUAAAAUUUAAACCACUGAUAUAUUUGUCAUUAAAUGGAGAUACUGCUUAUAAUACACCUAUAUGUACAUAUUAUAAUGACAUUUAUUUAUCACAUCAAGAUAUCAUACCUAACUUAUAUUCUUCUUUCUAUACUUACCAACCAGUAUUACCUCUUUCAGUUUCGCUCUUAUAUCUUUUUUUUUAUCCUUUUGGUUAUGCUAAAGCUUGCUUUCUAUCGCAGUCUACAAGCCGCAUUUUUUUUUAUCUAAAACUGCAGGUACGUGUUAAAAAAAAAAAAAAAAAAAAAAAAAAAAAAAAAAAAAANNNNNNNNNNNNNNNNNNNNNNNNNNNNNNNNNNNNNNNNNNNNNNNNNNNNNNNNNNNNNNNNNNNNNNNNNNNNNNNNNNNNNNNNNNNNNNNNNNNNAAAAAAAAUAAAAAAGAAGAAGUGGAAGAAAAGUAUUACAUCGUUAAAGAAAUAAUAAAAUAUAUAUAUCGCUUUGUUGAUAGCUACAAACUGAAAGAAAUUGUAAAAGAUAUUUGUGUUAUAUAUAAUGCUUCAAAAGAAACAUAUGAAAGACUAAUAAGUUAUGUAGAACAUAUGGAUGAACAAGAUCAGGAAGAAUAUUAUGAAGUUGAUGAAAAUGAAAGUGAAAGUGUAUUAACAGAAGAAAGAAAGAGAAAGAUAAAAUAUAAACAAACGGAUGGUGAAGUGGUAGGUAAAAUGGUUGGCAGUAAGAUGGUUGGCAGUAAAAGAGAUGACACAACAUUAACAACCGAAAACGACAAUAAUUAUGAUCAUAAUGGUAAAACAUUUAAUGAAAAAAUAGAUUAUAUAAUAAAAGAACUAAUGAAUAAAAAAGAAAAUAAUAAAAUGUUAUUUUUACAAUACCAAGUGAAUAAAGCUAUUGAAAUGUUUAAAAUUUUAUUCUUGAAAAAAGUAAAAGAAAACAUAACUGAAAUAGGUAAAACUAUGCAUUAUAAUAAAACAAAAAGAGUAACAAAUGUACUGAUAAUAGGACAAAAUUAUUCAGCUAUUAGUACUAUUAUAUAUAUUUUAUGUAAUUUUUUAACAAAAUUGAAGAAAAAUAAUAAUAGUUAUGUUUAUGAUAAAUGUACAUAUAAAAAUAUCAAUCUCAAAUACAUUUCGGAUAAAAAUAUUUUUUAUUAUUUUUUUCAAAACAUGGAAAAAGAAACACCAAUAAAUUUAAAUGCAUCUGAAGAUAUGUUAACUAAUAUGGAUAAUAUUGCUGGUGAUAAAAGUAGUAACACUAGCAACAAUAGUGACAGUAGCGAUAGGAGUAUUAACAGUCGAAGUAAUAUACAACAGAGUAAGCAAAAGUUAAAAAUGGUCGAUUCUGAUGAAGAAAAUGUAGAAUUUAGUUUGAAAGGUGCACUAAAUGAGGAAAUAGUUACAAGUAAAAAAAUGGGUACUACAUUUUUGAACAAGUCUAAGUUGACAAGUAAUAUAUUAAACAAACAGCAGAAUAAAAGACCAAUGAAACAACAAAAGAAAACUAUUACCAAAUCAGCUGAUAAAUACGAAACGCUUGAACAGAAGGUGUUUUACUCAAAAGAAAAACAACAAGAGUUAGAUGAAGAUAAUAAUAUACUACUAAAUUAUAUAAAAGUUAAAGAUACAAAUUUAAUAGAAAAAAUAUGCAACUAUACAAUAAAAACAAAUAUGUAUACCAUGAUAAAUAAAAAAAAUGAUGAUAAUAUAAAUCAUACUUGUUUUAUUUUUAAACCUGAUAAUUUAUAUACAAUUUCUCCAUAUAUUUUUAACAAUAUAUAUUUUGUUAACGUUAAAAAAACCGUACCAUAUAUUUAUUUUCUUACUUACAUGGUUGAACAAAUAAAAAUAUAUAAAUAUAUAAAAAAAAAAAUAAUAAAAAUAGCUGAUGAAUUAAUAGUUGAAACUAUUAACUUUUUUAAAAAACAAAGAGAGGUUAUUAAAGUCGUUGGAAAAAAAAAAAAUAAAAUAACACAUUGCCACUUUGAUGUAAAACAAAAUGGGAAAAAUGGGAAAAAUGGGCAAAGCGAAAAAAAUGAGCAAUAUAAGCAACAUGAACAAAAUCGUGCCUCUGUUUUAUACAAUCAGACGAUGGAAUAUGCUACAAAUGAAUUGAACGAAUUCGGGAUAGGUACUAGUGAUAAUCUGAUAACAUCCUCAACAAAUAAACACAUGGAUAGUGAAGAUGCCAAAGUCGUAAGAAUUGGUGACGACAUUUACAAUGAGUAUAGCAAUUUAGACAACUCCAGGGUAGAAGAAGGAGGAGGAAACAAAAGAAAAAAAGAAAAAAAAAACGGUAUAAAUAAUGGUAUAAAUAAUGGUAUAAAUAAUGGUAUAAAUAANNNNNNNNNNGUAUAA
Molecule: long non-coding RNA, 7612 nt
Filed under: Piliocolobus tephrosceles (Ugandan red Colobus)
Lineage: Eukaryota; Metazoa; Chordata; Mammalia; Primates; Cercopithecidae
Description: lncRNA (ENSPTEG00000020207.1)
Source: RNAcentral